GUGGGGAAUUUUGGACAAUGGGCGCAAGCCUGAUCCAGCAAUGCCGCGUGCAGGAAGAAGGCCUUCGGGUUGUAAACUGCUUUUGUACGGAACGAAACGGUCCGGGUUAAUACCCUGGGCUAAUGACGGUACCGUAAGAAUAAGCACCGGCUAACUACGUGCCAGCAGCCGCGGUAAUACGUAGGGUGCAAGCGUUAAUCGGAAUUACUGGGCGUAAAGCGUGCGCAGGCGGGUUUGUAAGACAGGCGUGAAAUCCCCGGGCUCAACCUGGGAAUUGCGCUUGUGACUGCAAGGCUGGAGUGCGGCAGAGGGGGAUGGAAUUCCGGGUGUAGCAGUGAAAUGCGUAGAUAUGCGGAGGAACACCGAUGGCGAAGGCAAUCCCCUGGGCCUGCACUGACGCUCAUGCACGAAAGCGUGGGGAGCAAACAGGAUUAGAUACCCCAGUAGUCC
Molecule: ribosomal RNA, 450 nt
Filed under: uncultured bacterium
Lineage: Bacteria
Description: partial 16S ribosomal RNA
Rfam family: Bacterial small subunit ribosomal RNA
Source: RNAcentral